GUCCACGCCCUAACGAUGUCAACUAGCCGUUGGAUCCAAUUAAAGGGUUUAGUGGCGCAGCUAACGCGAUAAGUUGACCGCCUGGGGAGUACGGCCGCAAGGUUAAACUCAAAGGAAUUGACGGGGCCCGCACAAGCGGUGGAGCAUGUGGUUUAAUUCGAUGCAACGCGAAGAACCUUACCAGGCCUUGACAUCCUGCGGACUGUCUAGAGAUAGACGGGUGCCUUCGGGAACGCAGUGACAGGUGCUGCAUGGCUGUCGU
Molecule: ribosomal RNA, 262 nt
Filed under: uncultured bacterium
Lineage: Bacteria
Description: partial 16S ribosomal RNA
Rfam family: Bacterial small subunit ribosomal RNA
Source: RNAcentral